RNAcentral lists this ribosomal RNA (483 nucleotides) under uncultured bacterium. RNAcentral's name for it is "partial 16S ribosomal RNA". It matches the Rfam family "Bacterial small subunit ribosomal RNA", at positions 29 to 507 of the family's 1533-position model. The record is from RNAcentral.
UUGAACGCUGGCGGCAUGCUUUACACCUGCCAGUCGAACGGCAGCGCGGGCUUCGGCCUGGCGGCGAGUGGCGAACGGGUGAGUAAUACAUCGGAACGUGCCCAGUAGUGGGGGAUAGCUCGGCGAAAGCCGGAUUAAUACCGCAUACGACCUGAGGGUGAAAGCGGGGGAUCUUCGGACCUCGCGCUAUUGGAGCGGCCGAUGGCAGAUUAGCUAGUUGGUGGGGUAAAGGCCUACCAAGGCGACGAUCUGUAGCUGGUCUGAGAGGACGACCAGCCACACUGGGACUGAGACACGGCCCAGACUCCUACGGGAGGCAGCAGUGGGGAAUUUUGGACAAUGGGCGAAAGCCUGAUCCAGCAAUGCCGCGUGUGUGAUGAAGGCCUUCGGGUUGUAAAGCACUUUUGGCGGGAACGAAAAGGACUGUGCCAAUACCACGGUUCGAUGACGGUACCCGCAGAAUAAGCACCGGCUAACUACGUG